AUGUAGCGGGGCUCAAGCACACCACCGAAGCUGUGGCAUUGACACACUGCUCGGCCAGUUUUCCUGCGGGGUUCUGGUCCAGGCGUGUUGAUGGGUAGGGGAGCGUCGUGUGGCCAGGGAAGCGGCGGAGUGAUCCAGCCGUGGAGGCCACACGAGUGAGAAUGCAGGCAUGAGUAGCGAAUGACGGGCGAGAAACCCGUCCGCCGAAUAACCAAGGGUUCCAGGGUCAAGCUAAUCUGCCCUGGGUAAGUCGGGACCUAAGGCGAGGCCGACAGGCGUAGUCGAUGGACAUCCGGUUGAUAUUCCGGAACCGGCGAAGAACCGCCCAUGACGAACCUAGUGAUGCUAAACGCCCAAAGCUGUUGUCCAAGACCUUCGGGUUGAGGGUUUCAGUGGAGCGCGUGACCCGAUCUAGUAGUAGUCAAGCGAUGGAGAGACGCAGGAAGGUAGCCUCCGCGUGGCGAUGGUAGUCCACGUCCAAGGGUGUAGGGCGAGCUGUAGGCAAAUCCGCAGCUCACAUAGCCUGAGACCUGAUAGUGACCGCGUAUGCGGGAAGCAGGGUGAUCCUAUGCUGCCAAGAAAAUCUUCUAGCGAGGUUCGAGCCGCCCGUACCCCAAACCGACUCAGGUGGUUAGGUAGAGAAUACCAAGGCGAUCGAGUGAAUCGUGGUUAAGGAAUUCGGCAAAAUACCCCCGUAACUUCGGGAGAAGGGGGGCCCAGAGGGUGAAGGCACUUGCUGCCUAGCCUGAACGGCCGCAGAGACCAGGGAGAAGCGACUGUUUACUAAAA
This 789-nucleotide ribosomal RNA is filed under the name Salmonella enterica. RNAcentral describes it as "partial 23S ribosomal RNA". It matches the Rfam family "Bacterial large subunit ribosomal RNA", at positions 1170 to 1812 of the family's 2925-position model. Lineage: Bacteria; Pseudomonadati; Pseudomonadota; Gammaproteobacteria; Enterobacterales; Enterobacteriaceae. The record is from RNAcentral.